ACAUACUUCUUUAUGUACCCAUAUUAUCAUACAGUGCUAUGGAAUGUAAAGAAGUAUGUAU
This 61-nucleotide microRNA precursor is filed under the name Microcaecilia unicolor. RNAcentral's name for it is "Mun-Mir-1-P1_pre stem-loop". It matches the Rfam family "mir-1 microRNA precursor family", at positions 10 to 70 of the family's 79-position model. From Rfam's summary of the family: This family represents the microRNA (miRNA) mir-1 family. miRNAs are transcribed as ~70nt precursors (modelled here) and subsequently processed by the Dicer enzyme to give a ~22nt product. In this case the mature sequence comes from the 3' arm of the precursor. The extents of the hairpin precursors are not generally known and are estimated based on hairpin prediction. The record is from RNAcentral. Lineage: Eukaryota; Metazoa; Chordata; Amphibia; Gymnophiona; Siphonopidae.